UUACCACUUAAUCGUCUUCUCAUUCACAG
Molecule: non-coding RNA, 29 nt
Filed under: Cricetulus griseus (Chinese hamster)
Lineage: Eukaryota; Metazoa; Chordata; Mammalia; Rodentia; Cricetidae
Source: RNAcentral